RNAcentral lists this long non-coding RNA (892 nucleotides) under Homo sapiens (human). RNAcentral's name for it is "HSALNT0403699". Lineage: Eukaryota; Metazoa; Chordata; Mammalia; Primates; Hominidae. The record is from RNAcentral.
AUUUCCCCCAUGCUGUUCUUGAAGUAGUGAAUAAGUCUCACGAGAUCUGAAUGUUUUAUAAGGGGAAAUCCCUUUCACUUGGUUUUCAUUCUCUCUCGUCUGCCACCAUGAAAGAUGUGCGUUUCACGUUCCACUAUGAUUGUGAGGCCUCCCCAGCUGCAUGGAACUAGACAAGGUCUCGCUAUGUUGCCAAGUUUGGCCUUGAACUCCUGGCCUCAAGCAAUCUUCCCACCUUGGCCUCCUGAGUUGCUGGGAUUUCAGUUAACUUAUCAAAACAGUAAUGCUAUGUCAUAAUAUCACAUAGUUUUGAAACCGUUUUCAGUGGGAAGUGCUUUGUAGAUUUCUUCUCAUUCAUUCUUUUGCUAUCUGUAUUUUUAAUAUAUUAUUUAUAAAUUUGAUCUUGUUUGUUCCUAUGUCAUCUCUAUUGUAGGACUUACCAUCAUAUAAUCUAGUAGUAAGUUUUAUGAGAGCUCUCCGUGCCCCAUAGUCUCAUUGAACCAACCAUCUCUGUUUCUUCAGCACCUCAUGGAGCUGAAUGUUUCUUUUUACACUGUGAAUAAAGGGACAGGUCUUCUGCAUCCUAUUUUAAUAUGCUACCACUUACUUUAGAAAUUCUCAUAUCUGGAUUUUAUGAUGAUUGGUCUGGUGCUCCACAGACCUCACCAGAAACUUUAACGCUACGUGCCUUGGGCUUUCUUGCUGGAAAAUAUCCUGUGUAGAACACUCUGUCUGCCUCUAGGUAAGUGUCAUUUUCGGGGAGGGAAUCUCCCUGAGGACUUCUGCCAUUUCAGAUGAGAAAGCCCAGAAUUAUUCUUACAGCAUAAGAUGCCACAUAGUGGUUAUGAUAUGAAUAUAAGAAAUGACUUAGAGGAGAUGCGGGGGGGGUGCUGCU